UUGCUGGGUGGAUUAGUGGCGAACGGGUGAGUAAACGUGAGUAACCUGCCCUUAACUCUGGGAUAAGCCUGGGAAACUGGGUCUAAUACCGGAUAGGAGCGUCCACCGCAUGGUGGGUGUUGGAAAGAUUUAUCGGUUUUGGAUGGACUCGCGGCCUAUCAGCUUGUUGGUGAGGUAAUGGCUCACCAAGGCGACGACGGGUAGCCGGCCUGAGAGGGUGACCGGCCACACUGGGACUGAGACACGGCCCAGACUCCUACGGGAGGCAGCAGUGGGGAAUAUUGCACAAUGGGCGCAAGCCUGAUGCAGCGACGCCGCGUGAGGGAUGACGGCCUUCGGGUUGUAAACCUCUUUCAGUAGGGAAGAAGCGAAAGUGACGGUACCUGCAGAAGAAGCACCGGCUAACUACGUGCCAGCAGCC
RNAcentral lists this ribosomal RNA (421 nucleotides) under bacterium AER51B. Its description in RNAcentral is "bacterial SSU rRNA". It matches the Rfam family "Bacterial small subunit ribosomal RNA", at positions 80 to 516 of the family's 1533-position model. The record is from RNAcentral.